This 395-nucleotide ribosomal RNA is filed under the name uncultured bacterium. RNAcentral's name for it is "partial 16S ribosomal RNA". It matches the Rfam family "Bacterial small subunit ribosomal RNA", at positions 523 to 918 of the family's 1533-position model. The record is from RNAcentral.
AUACGUAGGGGGCAAGCGUUGUCCGGAAUUACUGGGCGUAAAGCGCACGCAGGCUGACUUAUAAGUCGGUAGUCUAAUGCGGAGGCUCAACUUCCGUUUAUCUAUCGAUACUGUAAGACUAGAGUAUGUGAGAGGGAAGUGGAAUUCCCGGUGUAGCGGUGAAAGGCGUAGAUAUCGGGAGGAACACCAGUGGCGAAGGCGACGUCCUGGCACAAUACUGACGCUCAUGUGCGAAAGCUAGGGUAGCGAACGGGAUUAGAUACCCCGGUAGUCCUAGCCGUAAACGAUGGAUACUAGGUGUGGGUGUCGCAGGGCAUCCGUGCCGCAGCUAACGCGUUAAGUAUCCCGCCUGGGGACUACGGUCGCAAGACUGAAACUCAAAGGAAUUGACGGGG